This 367-nucleotide ribosomal RNA is filed under the name uncultured organism. RNAcentral describes it as "bacterial SSU rRNA". It matches the Rfam family "Bacterial small subunit ribosomal RNA", at positions 527 to 896 of the family's 1533-position model. The record is from RNAcentral.
GAAGGAUGCAAGCGUUAUCCGGAUUCACUGGGUUUAAAGGGUGUGCAGGUGGGGUAAUAAGUCAGUGGUGAAAGCCCCCGACUCAAUCGGGGAACUGCCAUAGAUACUGUUAUUCUUGAGUGUAGUUGAGGCGGAUGGAAUAUGACAUGUAGCGGUGAAAUGCUUAGAUAUGUCAUAGAACACCGAUCGCGAAGGCAGUCCGCCAAGCUAUUACUGACACUGAAACACGAAAGUGCGGGGAUCAAACAGGAUUAGAUACCCUGGUAGUCCGCACCGUAAACGAUGAUCACUCGUUGUCGGCGAUACACAGUCAGCGACUAAGCGAAAGCAUUAAGUGAUCCACCUGGGAAGUACGACCGCAAGGUUG